Molecule: ribosomal RNA, 268 nt
Filed under: uncultured bacterium
Lineage: Bacteria
Description: partial small subunit ribosomal RNA
Rfam family: Bacterial small subunit ribosomal RNA
Source: RNAcentral
AGGACGAACGCUGGCGGCGUGCUUAACACAUGCAAGUGGUGCGACGAACCAGGGCUUGCCCUGGGGCAAAGCCGCGAACGGGUGAGUAACACGUGAGUAACCUGCCCCGAUGACCGGGACAACCCGAGGAAACUCGGGCUAAUACCGGAUGUGGCGCACAGGCGUAAGCCUGUUCGCUAAAGGAAGCUUCGGCCUCCGCAUUGGGAGGGGCUCGCGGCCCAUUAGCUUGUUGGUGGGGUUAUGGCCUACCAAGGCGACGAUGGGUAGC